Myotis daubentonii (Daubenton's bat) is the source of this 5025-nucleotide long non-coding RNA. RefSeq lists it as uncharacterized. Lineage: Eukaryota; Metazoa; Chordata; Mammalia; Chiroptera; Vespertilionidae. The record is from RefSeq and is a predicted model, not a curated record. The transcript has 2 exons.
AUUUAUUUAUGUAUUUAUUAUUCAAUAGCAUAUGUUUACUCCUUUUUUUGUUUUUUAAAUACAUAUAUUUUUUAUUUCAGAGAGGAAGGAAGAGGGAGAAAGAGAAAUAUCAAUGAUGAGAGAAUCAUUGAUUGGCUGCCUCCUGCACACCCCACACUGGAAUCGAACUUAGGACGCUCUAUCCACUGAGCCAAACUGGUUAGGUAGGGCUACUUUGUUUUAAUAAGAAAUCAGAUAUAUACGCUGUAACUAGAGUUGUGAUAAUUUCCACCAGGUUUUAUUCAUGGAGUUGAUGUACCUUAUCACUCUUGUUACUGUCAAUGGCUUCUUUUUGUUUUUUUAUUUUUGCUGUUUUUUAAAAAAUCUUUAUUGUUGAAAGUAUUACAUAAGUUCCCUUUAUUCUCCCAUUAACCCCUUAUAGCCUGAUCCUGCCCCCUGCCCCAGGUCUCUACCCCCCUAUUGUCUGUGUCCAUGGGUUGUACAUAUAUGCUUACAAGCUCUUUAAUUGAUCUCUUGCCACCCACUCAUCCACCCCCGCCUCCCCUCUGGAAUUCGACAGUCUGUUCCAUGCUUCUGUGUCUCUGGAUCUAUUUUGUUCAACAGUUUAUUUUGUUCAUUGGAUACCACAUAUGAGUGAAAUCAUGUGAUACUUGUCUUUCUCUGACUGGCUUAUUUCGCUUAGAUUAAUACUCUGUAAGCCCCUCCAUGCUGUCUCAAAGGGUAAGAGAUCUUUUUACUGCUGCAUAGUAUUCCAUGGUGUAAGUGUAUUUUUUUAAAAAAUAUAUAUAUUUAUUGAUUUCAGAGAGGAAGGGAGAGGGAGAGAGCUAUAGAAACAUCAAUGUUGAGAGAAGAGAGAAUCAUCGACUGGCUGCCUCCUUGCACGUUGCCCACUGGGGAUUGAGCCCACAACCCAGGCAUGUGCUCUUGACCAGAAUCAAACCCAGGACCUUUCAGUUCGCAGGCUGACACUCUAUCCACUGAGCCAAACCAGCUAGGGCUACCACAGCUUUUUUAUCUACUUGUCUACUGAUAGGCACUUGGACUGUUUCCAGAUCUUAGCUAUUGUAAAUUGUGCUGCUAUGAACAUAGGAGUGCAUACAUUCUUCCUGAUCAGAGUUUCGGGUUUCUUAGGGAUAUGUUCCUAGAAGUGGGAUCAUUGGGUCAAAUGGCAGUUCCAUAUUAAAUUUUUUGAGGAAAUUUUAUACUGUUUUCCAUAAUGGCUGCAGCAUUCUGCAUUCCCACCAGCAGUGUACUAGGGUUCCCUUUUCUCCACAUCCUCACCAGCACUUGUCAUUUGUUGAAUUGGUGAUGUUAGCCACUCUGACAGGUGUGAGGUGAUACCUCAUUGUCGUUUUAAUUUGCAUUUCUCUGAUGAUCAGUGACUUUGAGCAUUUUUUUAUAUGUCUCUUGGCCAUCUACAUGUCCACUUUGGAGAAGUGCCUAUUUAGGUCCUUUGCCUGUUUUUUAAUUAGAUGGUUUGUCUUCCUUUUUUUAAGUUGUAUGAGUUCCUUAUAUAUUUUGUUUAUUAACCCAAAUAUGUUCUCCCUACAGUGGCUCCCUUUUCAUUUGUUGAUGGCUUCUUUUGCUGUGCAGAUGCUUUUUAUUUUGAUGAAGUUCCAUUUGUUUAUUUUCUCCUUAGUUACCUUUGCCCUAGGAGAUGUAUCUGCAAACAUAUUACUAUGAGAGAUUUCUGAGAUUAUGUUGCCUAUGGUUUCUUCUAUGGUCUCACAUCUUACAUUUAAGUCUUUUAUCCAUUUUGAGUUUAUUCUUGUGUAUAAGUUGGUAGUCUAGCUUCAUUUUUUUGCAUGUAUCUGUCCAAUUUUCCCAACACCAUUUAUUGAAGAGACUGUCUUGGCUCCAUUGUAUGCUCUUGCCUCCUUUGUCAAAUAUUAAUUGAACGUAAUGGCUUGGGUUGAUUUUUGGGGUCUCUAUUCUGUUCCAUUGAUCUAUAUGCCUGUUCUUGUGCCAGUACCAGGCUGUUUUGAUUACAGUGGCUUUGAAAUAUAACUUGAUAUCUGGUAUUGUGAUUCCUCCUACUUUGUUGUUCUUUCUUAAGAUUGCUGCGGCUAUUCAAGGUCUUUUUGGUUCCAUAUAAAUUUUUGGAGUAUUUGUUCUAGGUCUGUGAAAUAUGCUGUUGGUAUUUUAAUAGGGAUUGCAUUGAAUCUGUAGAUUGCCUUGGGUAGUAUGGAUAUUUUAAUUAUGUUAAUUCUACCAAUCCAUGAACAUGGUAUAUUCUUCCACUUGUUUAUAUCUUCCUCUAUCUCUUUUUUUUCAAUAUCCUAUAGUUUUCCGAGUACAAGUCUUUUACCUCCUUGGUUAAGUUUAUUCCUAAUUAUCUCACUUUUUUGUUGUUGUUGUUGCAAUGGUAAAUGGGAUUGUUUAUUUUUUCUUUCUGAGAAUUCAUUAUUGGUGUCCAUUGAUUUUUGGGUGUUGAUUUUGUAUCCUGCUACCUUGCCAAAUUCAUUUAUUAAAUCUAGUAGUUUUUUAAUGGAAUCUUUAGGGUUUUCUAUGUACAAUAUCAUGUCAUCUGUGAAUAAUGAGAGUUUUACUUCCUCCUUUCUAAUUUGGAUGCCUUUUAUUUCUUCUUCUUGUCUGAUCGCUGUGACUAGGCCUUCCAGUACUAUGUUGAACAAGAAUGGUGAAAGCAGACACCCCUGUCUUGAUCCAGUUCUUAGGGGAAAUGGUUUUAGUUUUUGCCCAUUGAGUAUGAUGUUCGCUGUAGGUUUGUCAUAUAUGGUCUUUAUUAUUAUGUUGAGAUAUGAUCCCUCUAUUCCCACUUUGAUGAGUGUUUUAUAAAAAAUGGUUGUUGGGUUUUGUCUAAGGCAUUUUCUGUUUCUAUUGAUAUGAUGAUGUGAUUUUUGUUUUUCAAUUUGUUUAUGUGAUGUAUCACGUUUAUUGAUUUGCAAAUAUUGUACCAGUGUUGCAUCCCCGGAAUAAAUCCCACUUGGUCAUGGUGUAUGAUCUUUUUAAUAUAUUGCUGGAUCCAAUUUGCUAAUUUGUUGAGGAUUUGAGCAUCUAUGUUUAUCAGGGACAUUGGUCUGUAAUUCUCUUUCUUUGUAGUGUCUUUAUCUGAUUUUGGAAUUAGGGUAAUGCUGGCCUCAUAAAAAGAGCUUGGAAGUGUUCCUUCCUCUUAGAUUUUUUUGGAAUAGUUUGAGGAGUAUAGGUGUUAGUUCUUUGAAUGUUUGGUAAAAACUCCCCUGUGAAACCAUCUGGACCAGGGCUUUAGUUGCUGGGAGUUUUUUUUGUUUUGUUUUGUGUUGUUUUUUUUUUUAAUUGAUUCAGAGAGGAAGGGCGAAGAAGAGAGAUAGAAACAUCAAUGAUGAGAGGGAAUUAUUGACCGGUUGCCUCCUGCACACCCCCUACUGGGGAUCAAGCCCGCAACCUGAGCAUGUGCUCUUGACCAGAAUUGAACCCGGGACCCUUCAGUCUGCAGGUCGAUGCUCUAUCCACUGAGCCAAACCAGCUAGAGCUGCUGCGAGUUUUUUGAUUACUGCUUCUAUUUCAUCAGUUGUUAUUGGCCUCUUCAGGUUUUCUUAUUCUUCCUGAUUCAUUUUUAGGAGAUUGUAUUUUUCUAGGAAUUUGCCCGUUUCAUCCACAUCAUCCAGCUUGUUGGCAAAUAGUUGUUCAUAGUAUUUUCUUAUAACUCUGUGUUUCUGUAGAGAGGAAGAGAGAGAAACAUCAAUGAUGAAGAGAAUCAUUGAUCAGCUGCCUCUUGCAUGCCCCACACUGGGGAUGGAGCCUGAAACUCGGGCAUCAAGCCAUGACCUCCUGAAUUCUGGAUUGAUGUUCAACCAUUGAGCCACGCUGCCCAUGUGUCUUAUUUAUUUUUCACUGCUAUAUGAUAUUCCACUUACAGCUAUAACUCGCAUCUUGGUAAUUCUGCCAUUGAUGGACCCUUAAGUUGUUUCUAAUUUUUUGUUUCAAAUGCUGCUGCUUUAUAUAUUUUUGUAUGCCUUCUAGUAUGCAUAAGCACACAUUUUUGUAGGGUCAUACUCAGAGGAGGAAUUAAUGGGUGUAGGGUUUGCAUGUGCUCAAUUUUACCAGAUGUUGUACAAAUUUGUAUGUAUGCCUCAAGUUCUUUUUUCUACUUCUUCACCGGCAUUUGAUGUUAUCAAAUCUUAAUUUUCUCCAGCACAGUGGGUGUGAGAUAACAUAGUGAUUUCAAUUUACAUUUAUGUUUUAUAAUAAGAUUGAACAUCAUUUCAUAUGUUUAGGAGCUAUUUAUGCUUCCUUUUCUGUGAAAUUCCUUUUUCUUGCCCACUUUUUUGUUGAGUUAUUAUUCACAGUUCUCUAUAUACUCUAAAUAUAAUUCAGAAUAUGAGUUGCAAAUAUAUUCUUCCAGUUUGUGGCAUGUUUUUCCAUUCUCAUAUCUUUUUAAACAGAGGCUUUCAUUUUAAUGUAGUUGAAUUUAUCAACCUUUUCCUUAUUUCAAGUUAAACAUAUUCUCCCAAUAUGUACAACAUGAGAUAGGGAUCCAGUUUUAUUGAUUUUUAAAAUUUUACAUUUAAAUAUGCAUUAACUGCUGGUUAUUGAAAAAUUACUUGCUUUCCCACUGAGCUGUGAUGCCAGCUGGGAGUCCCAGAUGAGUGCUUGUUUCUGAGUUCUUUCUUUCCCACCAACCGUCAGUGUCUCUAUCCCAAACCCAUUGUCUACAUUAUUACAGCUUUAUGAAAACUACUGAUAUUUGGGAGAGCAAGACCCUAUGACUUUAACAGUGCUUUGGCUAUUCUUAGCUCUUUGUACUUCCAUAAAAUUGUUACUUUCAGAUGGUCUAAUACAUUUUUUAAGUUAGAUUCACAAUUUACAAAAGGGCAUAUGGUAAAAUUUCCCCAUCCUGCCUUUCUUCUCUCAGUUCUCUCCUCAGAAGCAGUCAUACUUAACUAAUUUCUUGUGCAUUGUUCCAGAGAUAACCUGAAAUUGCAUAGUUUUGUGUGUAUAUUACCACACCCCUUUUUGUAGUUGCACAGUUCAUCAGCAGAGUUUAUGUAAAAUCUGUUUUCAAUGAAAUCUGUUUCUUUUUUUCUU